This 2937-nucleotide ribosomal RNA is filed under the name Priestia megaterium. RNAcentral's name for it is "bacterial LSU rRNA". It matches the Rfam family "Bacterial large subunit ribosomal RNA". Lineage: Bacteria; Bacillati; Bacillota; Bacilli; Caryophanales; Bacillaceae. The record is from RNAcentral.
AUGGUUAAGUUAGAAAGGGCGCACGGUGAAUGCCUUGGCACUAGGAGCCGAUGAAGGACGGGACUAACACCGAUAUGCUUCGGGGAGCUGUAAGUGAGCUUUGAUCCGGAGAUUUCCGAAUGGGGAAACCCACUGUUCGUAAUGGAACAGUAUCUUUAUCUGAAUACAUAGGAUAUUGAAGGCAGACCCGGGGAACUGAAACAUCUAAGUACCCGGAGGAAGAGAAAGCAAAUGCGAUUUCCUGAGUAGCGGCGAGCGAAACGGAAUUAGCCCAAACCAAGAGGCUUGCCUCUUGGGGUUGUAGGACACUCUAUACGGAGUUACAAAGGAACGAAGUAAAUGAAGCGACCUGGAAAGGUCCGUCGAAGAAGGUAACAACCCUGUAGUUGAAACUUCGUUCCCUCUUGAGUGGAUCCUGAGUACGGCGGAACACGUGAAAUUCCGUCGGAAGCUGGGAGGACCAUCUCCCAAGGCUAAAUACUACCUAGUGACCGAUAGUGAACCAGUACCGUGAGGGAAAGGUGAAAAGCACCCCGGAAGGGGAGUGAAAGAGAUCCUGAAACCGUGUGCCUACAAGUAGUCAGAGCCCGUUAACGGGUGAUGGCGUGCCUUUUGUAGAAUGAACCGGCGAGUUACGAUCCCAUGCAAGGUUAAGCUGAUAAGGCGGAGCCGUAGCGAAAGCGAGUCUGAAUAGGGCGUUUAGUAUGUGGUUGUAGACCCGAAACCAGGUGAUCUACCCAUGUCCAGGGUGAAGUUCAGGUAACACUGAAUGGAGGCCCGAACCCACGCACGUUGAAAAGUGCGGGGAUGAGGUGUGGGUAGCGGAGAAAUUCCAAUCGAACCUGGAGAUAGCUGGUUCUCUCCGAAAUAGCUUUAGGGCUAGCCUCAUGUUGUGAGAGUCUUGGAGGUAGAGCACUGAUUGGACUAGGGGCCCCCAACGGGUUACCGAAUUCAGUCAAACUCCGAAUGCCAAAGACUUAUCCAUGGGAGUCAGACUGCGAGUGAUAAGAUCCGUAGUCAAAAGGGAAACAGCCCAGACCACCAGCUAAGGUCCCCAAGUAUACGUUAAGUGGAAAAGGAUGUGGAGUUGCUUAGACAACCAGGAUGUUGGCUUAGAAGCAGCCACCAUUUAAAGAGUGCGUAAUAGCUCACUGGUCGAGUGACUCUGCGCCGAAAAUGUACCGGGGCUAAACGUAUCACCGAAGCUGUGGAUUGACAUCUUUGAUGUCAGUGGUAGGAGAGCGUUCUAAGUGCUGUGAAGUCAGACCGUAAGGACUGGUGGAGCGCUUAGAAGUGAGAAUGCCGGUAUGAGUAGCGAAAGACAAGUGAGAAUCUUGUCCACCGAAUGCCUAAGGUUUCCUGAGGAAGGCUCGUCCGCUCAGGGUUAGUCGGGACCUAAGCCGAGGCUGAAAAGCGUAGGCGAUGGCCAACAGGUUGAUAUUCCUGUACCACCUCCCCGCCGUUUGAGUAAUGGGGGGACGCAGUAGGAUAGGGUAAGCGCGCUGCUGGAUAUGCGCGUUCAAGCAGUUAGGCUGAUGAGUAGGCAAAUCCGCUCAUCAUAAAGGCUGAGCUGUGAUGACGAGGGAAUUAUAGUACCGAAGUUCCUGAUUCCACACUGCCAAGAAAAGCCUCUAGCGAGGCGGGAGGUGCCCGUACCGCAAACCGACACAGGUAGGCGAGGAGAGAAUCCUAAGGUGAUCGAGAGAACUCUCGUUAAGGAACUCGGCAAAAUGACCCCGUAACUUCGGGAGAAGGGGUGCUCUGGUAGGGUGUAUAGCCCGAGAGAGCCGCAGUGAAUAGGCCCAGGCGACUGUUUAGCAAAAACACAGGUCUCUGCGAAGCCGCAAGGCGAAGUAUAGGGGCUGACGCCUGCCCGGUGCUGGAAGGUUAAGAGGAGGGGUUAUCCUUUGGGAGAAGCUCUGAAUCGAAGCCCCAGUAAACGGCGGCCGUAACUAUAACGGUCCUAAGGUAGCGAAAUUCCUUGUCGGGUAAGUUCCGACCCGCACGAAAGGCGUAACGAUCUGGGCACUGUCUCAACGAGAGACUCGGUGAAAUUAUAGUACCUGUGAAGAUGCAGGUUACCCGCGACAGGACGGAAAGACCCCGUGGAGCUUUACUGUAGCCUGAUAUUGAAUUUUGGUACAGCUUGUACAGGAUAGGUAGGAGCCUGAGAAGCCGGAGCGCUAGCUUCGGUGGAGGCGUCGGUGGGAUACUACCCUGGCUGUAUUGAAAUUCUAACCCGCGGCCCUGAUCGGGCCGGGAGACAGUGUCAGGUGGGCAGUUUGACUGGGGCGGUCGCCUCCUAAAAUGUAACGGAGGCGCCCAAAGGUUCCCUCAGAAUGGUUGGAAAUCAUUCGUAGAGUGUAAAGGCACAAGGGAGCUUGACUGCGAGACCUACAAGUCGAGCAGGGACGAAAGUCGGGCUUAGUGAUCCGGUGGUUCCGCAUGGAAGGGCCAUCGCUCAACGGAUAAAAGCUACCCCGGGGAUAACAGGCUUAUCUCCCCCAAGAGUCCACAUCGACGGGAGGUUUGGCACCUCGAUGUCGGCUCAUCGCAUCCUGGGGCUGUAGUCGGUCCCAAGGGUUGGGCUGUUCGCCCAUUAAAGCGGUACGCGAGCUGGGUUCAGAACGUCGUGAGACAGUUCGGUCCCUAUCCGUCGUGGGCGUAGGAAAUUUGAGAGGAGCUGUCCUUAGUACGAGAGGACCGGGAUGGACACACCGCUGGUGUACCAGUUGUCUUGCCAAAGGCAUCGCUGGGUAGCUAUGUGUGGACGGGAUAAGUGCUGAAAGCAUCUAAGCAUGAAGCCCCCUCAAGAUGAGAUUUCCCAUAGCGCAAGCUAGUAAGAUCCCUGAAAGAUGAUCAGGUUGAUAGGUCAGAGGUGGAAGCGUGGCGACAUGUGUAGCUGACUGAUACUAAUCGAUCGAGGACUUAACCAAA